Molecule: ribosomal RNA, 240 nt
Filed under: uncultured bacterium
Lineage: Bacteria
Description: partial 16S ribosomal RNA
Rfam family: Bacterial small subunit ribosomal RNA
Source: RNAcentral
CGCGUGAGGAACCUGCCUUUCAGAGGGGGACAACAGCUGGAAACGGCUGCUAAUACCGCAUAACACAUAGGUGUCGCAUGGCAUUUAUGUCAAAGAUUUAUCGCUGAGAGAUGGCCUCGCGUCUGAUUAGCUAGUUGGUAGGGUAACGGCCUACCAAGGCGACGAUCAGUAGCCGGACUGAGAGGUUGGCCGGCCACAUUGGGACUGAGAUACGGCCCAGACUCCUACGGAAGGCAGCAG